RNAcentral lists this ribosomal RNA (326 nucleotides) under uncultured eukaryote. Its description in RNAcentral is "partial 18S ribosomal RNA". It matches the Rfam family "Eukaryotic small subunit ribosomal RNA", at positions 1470 to 1796 of the family's 1831-position model. The record is from RNAcentral.
CCCUUAGAUGUUCUGGGCCGCACGCGCGCUACACUGAUGCAUUCAACGAGCCUAUCCUUGACCGACAGGUCCGGGUAAUCUUUGAAACUGCAUCGUGAUGGGGCUAGAUUAUUGCAAUUAUUAAUCUUCAACGAGGAAUGCCUAGUAAGCGUGAUUCAUCAAAUCGCGUUGAUUACGUCCCUGCCCUUUGUACACACCGCCCGUCGCUCCUACCGAUUGAGUGUGUUGGUGAGGAGUUUGGAUUGGCCUCGGAAGGUGGUUCGCCACCGUCCGUAGCUGAGAAGUUCUCCAAACCGCCCCACUUAGAGGAAGGAGAAGUCGUAACA